GGGGAAUUUUCCGCAAUGGGCGAAAGCCUGACGGAGCAAUACCGCGUGAGGGAGGAAGGCUCUUGGGUUGUAAACCUCUUUUCUCAGGGAAGAACAAAAUGACGGUACCUGAGGAAUAAGCAUCGGCUAACUCCGUGCCAGCAGCCGCGGUAAUACGGAGGAUGCAAGCGUUAUCCGGAAUGAUUGGGCGUAAAGCGUCCGCAGGUGGCUUUGCAAGUCUGCUGUCAAAGCUCAGGGCUUAACCCUGAAUCGGCGGUGGAAACUGAAAGGCUAGAGUGCGGUAGGGGCAGAGGGAAUUCCCAGUGUAGCGGUGAAAUGCGUAGAGAUUGGGAAGAACACCAAUGGCGAAAGCGCUCUGCUAGACCGCAACUGACACUCAUGGACGAAAGCUAGGGGAGCGAAUGGGAUUAGAUACCCCAGUAGUCCUAGCCGUAAACGAUGGAUACUAGGCGUUGAGAGUAUCGACCCUCUCAGUGUCGUAGCUAACGCGUUAAGUAUCCCGCCUGGGAAGUACGCACGCAAGUGUGAAACUCAAAGGAAUUGACGGGGGCCCGCACAAGCGGUGGAGUAUGUGGUUUAAUUCGAUGCAACGCGAAGAACCUUACCAGGACUUGACAUGUCGCGAAUCCUUAGGAAACUAAGGAGUGCCUUCGGGAGCGCGAACACAGGUGGUGCAUGGCUGUCGUCAGCUCGUGUCGUGAGAUGUUGGGUUAAGUCCCGCAACGAGCGCAACCCUCGUGCUUAGUUGCCAGCAUUAAGUUGGGCACUCUAAGCAGACUGCCGGUGACAAACCGGAGGAAGGUGGGGAUGACGUCAAGUCAGCAUGCCCCUUACGUCCUGGGCUACACACGUACUACAAUGCUACGGACAAAGGGCAGCAAGCAUGCGAAUGCAAGCUAAUCUCAUAAACCGUGGCUCAGUUCAGGUCGCAGGCUGCAACUCGCCUGCGUGAAGGCGGAAUCGCUAGUAAUCCCAGAUCAGCACGCUGGGGUGAAUACGUUCCCGGGCCUUGUACACACCGCCCGUCACACCAUGGAAGCUGGCUCUGCCCGAAGUCGUUACCCUAACCCUUGUGGAAGGGGACGCCGAAGGUGUGGCUGGUGACUGGGGUGAAGUCGUAACAAGGUAGCCGUACCGGAAGGUGUGGCUGGAUCACCUCCUU
Molecule: ribosomal RNA, 1162 nt
Filed under: coccoid cyanobacterium CMT-2BRIN-NPC43B
Lineage: Bacteria; Bacillati; Cyanobacteriota
Description: bacterial SSU rRNA
Rfam family: Bacterial small subunit ribosomal RNA
Source: RNAcentral